This 901-nucleotide long non-coding RNA is filed under the name Fukomys damarensis (Damara mole-rat). Its description in RNAcentral is "lncRNA (ENSFDAG00000033255.1)". Lineage: Eukaryota; Metazoa; Chordata; Mammalia; Rodentia; Bathyergidae. The record is from RNAcentral.
CUGACUUUAGCUUUAGACCCAUUAUUCAAGGAAUGAUGCAUGAGUGUGAUAUGAGACGCAAGUAACUCAACAUAAUAUUUAAACAGUAAAACUGCAGAAAAUUCAUGGUGUAUAGUCAGUAUUUGACUUUACUUUUAUUGUGGCAAAAAAUGCAUUAGACUGAAGCAGUUCUUUCUGAAUUUGCAUUUAAAGAACCAAGCUCUUUUAUUUUAGUCUCUUUCCUCGUGGAAACACUCUCAUAUCUUGACACCCUGAAAUUAAAAGCGGAGAGAUUUAUUUUGGCUGACAGUCUGUAGAGGUUUCAGUCCAUGGUGGGCUGGCUCCAAGGCAGGAAAGCAUGGCAGAGGGGCCUGGCGAAGGAGAUCUGUCAGAGCAUGGCGAACAGGAAGCGGAAGAGAAGGGAGGAGCCGGAAGAAAGGAGAGGACCCUUCCAGGCCCCGCCCCCGUGACCGCCUCUUCCCCCAGGCCCUGCCUCCUGACCCCUGUCAGCUGUGACCUCCGUGAUCCACUCACCUUCCGGAAGCCGGAAGCUGGUGAGUGCCUGAGGCUUCCCGGGACCUGGGAACUGACCGGGCUGCAGGCUCCUCCUCCUCCUCCUCCCGAGAUAGGCGUUCUCAGGUGGCUGCAGAGAACAAAGGCCCCCUCGAGAUCCGACUCACCGUGGAGGCUCUACAGGCCUUCGCUGUUCCCCAGGACCCCCACGCGGGGCUCAUGCCACAGCAGCGCAGUUCAAAAGAUGACCCAGGCCACCGCCAGGCUGCUAGGCCUCACACUGAAGGUGAGACCAGAGCGAGCGGAGGGCACUGGCCGCUCUGGGAAAUCACAGGCUCCAGCAACCAAGACCCAGCCUGGGGCUGAAGGAGACGGAAGCCUGAGCCUGUGUUCAGCUUAUGUCUCAUAG